UACGUAGGGGGCGAGCGUUAUCCGGAAUUACUGGGCGUAAAGCGUGCGUAGGCGGUCAUGCAAGCUUGGGGUUUAAAGCUGCGGCUUAACCGCAGUGCGCCCUUAGAACUGUAUGGCUUGAGUGCAGGAGAGGAGAGUGGAAUUCCUAGUGUAGCGGUGAAAUGCGUAGAGAUUAGGAGGAACACCAGUGGCGAAGGCGACUCUCUGGACUGUAACUGACGCUGAGGCACGAAAGCGUGGGGAGCAAACAGG
RNAcentral lists this ribosomal RNA (252 nucleotides) under uncultured bacterium. RNAcentral's name for it is "partial 16S ribosomal RNA". It matches the Rfam family "Bacterial small subunit ribosomal RNA", at positions 524 to 776 of the family's 1533-position model. The record is from RNAcentral.